RNAcentral lists this ribosomal RNA (292 nucleotides) under uncultured bacterium. Its description in RNAcentral is "partial 16S ribosomal RNA". It matches the Rfam family "Bacterial small subunit ribosomal RNA", at positions 505 to 796 of the family's 1533-position model. The record is from RNAcentral.
GUGCCAGCCGCCGCGGUAGUACGGAGGGUGCAAGCGUUGUCCGGAAUCACUGGGUGUAAAGGGUGUGCAGGCGGGGCAACAAGUCGGAUGUGAAACCCCAUGGCUCAACCAUGGAGGUGCAUUCGAAACUGUUGCUCUUGAGUCCCGGAGAGGCUGUCGGAAUUCGUGGUGUAGCGGUGAAAUGCGUAGAUAUCACGAGGAACACCAGAGGCGAAAGCGGACAGCUGGACGGGUACUGACGCUCAGGCACGAAAGCUAGGGUCUCGAACCGGAUUAGAAACCCUAGUAGUCC